UCUUAGUCAUUUUUUGAUCUUUAGUGUAAUGCUUUGAUUGGUGCUUGUUGUUUAUUUUUAUUCAUUGCAUUACAUAUUUGAAUGAUUUUUGGUGCAUUGAUUUUUUUUUAUCAUUUGAGGAGAAGGUGUUUGGGAAUUUCAAUUGGUAUUGAAAAAGGAGAUGAUUGAGAAUCGUUUUUGGAGAGAAAGUUUUUUUUUUUUUAAAAAAAUUGUUUAAAUGGGUUUUAUCUUCACAACCAUAUUAAGUUAAAUUCAUAUUAAUUAUCGUCUUUACUCCACUAUUUAUUAUUUUGACGAUAAUUUAUUAUAUGAUUUCUUAAUGCAUAUAUUCAUCAAAACUUUGAAAUCAAAUUUGAUUUUUUGGUGAUUAAUUCAUCUUGGUUGUGAGCGUUGGAUAUGAUGAAUGGGUAUUCUCUAAUUGACUAAAAUUCGUCAAAAUUAUUUUCAAUUGUGAGAUUGUCUAAUUUAGGGGGAGUUUGAAAUUGUUUAAAAAUAAAAAAAGGAGAAAAAGAAACUCCUAAGUUUAAAAAGAUGUGGAAAGAGUUACAUCCAAAAGGAGUGUGAAAACUACCACCACAUGUAGGAAAGAGCUACCACCCCGGUCGUCCGGCAAGUGUGUGAAGCUACCACAUGAAGAUUAAAUUGGAUAAGCCGAAAAAGGUUGGAAAAAUAUAAAUAUUUUAGAAUUUUCGGAGUAAUAAGGUGCUAGUUUGAAAAAGAUGCUCAAAGAGCCACCCCCGGUGCCAUAUUAGUUAAAUCUCUAUUUUGAAUGUAUUGCAACAAAUUGGUGUCAAUUUUGUUGAAUUUCUAAAUAUCAUUUUUCAUCAACUUACAUCUUGAUGUUUUUGAAUCAUUAAAUUAUUUUUGAUUUUGAAAUUUUGAUGUUUUGAUGUGUUUUGAAAUUUUAUAAUAUCUUAUUUUCAUUACAAUGAUUUUUGGAGUAAAAGCCUUAACUAUAUGAAUUUAAUUUAAAUGUGAUGGAUUUUUAAAGUAUAUUUUUCGGAAAAAAAAAUUUUCACAUUUUGGUCCUUGUACCGGAACAAGAACCCGUGUACCGGUACAAGGUCUGCGGCCGAGCGGAAUAUAACCGGGUAUAACGCUUCGAUCUUUUUCAAAACUCAAUCGUUUUCCAAAAUUUUUGGUUCUGCGAGCUCUAGAGACUCUCUUUCAUUCGUUCUACACAUUUUCCCUGUGAAUUUGUAAGUUUUUAGCAUCAAAUUUGUGAGUUUUAUCCCGAUUUUGCUAUUUUCACAGUUUUUGCGGGAUAAGGGUUUGAUCUCUGCUCUAAUCCGUUUUUGAUACAAUUUUUUGCUAUAGAUCAGUGUCUUAGGCUAUUACCUUGCUUGUAGAACACUUGAACAACAUCAAAACAAGUUAUUUUUCGCUGAUCUAGAAUUUAUGCUUUAAUAUGCAUGUAAUUUCGGGAUUUUUUUUGAAAAGUUCAAUUUUUGCUGAAAUUUUUUGCAUGAUUUGGUUAGAAAUAGCAUUUGUAUGCAUUCUAAUGUUAUUAGAAAUUUUUUCGCUAUUUUUAUAGAUUUUUUUUUAAAAAUUUGUUCAUAUAUGCAAUUUUUGAUAUAGGAAAAUGGGAUUUUUACUCGUACUGGUGCUUUUGGUGCUUAUGGCUGGGAGACGAAGCCGUGGCAGUGGUAGAGGUCGUCAUGGGGUUUCUAAAAGGACACGUACCACUGAAGAAGCGUCCGGGUCUGAUCCGGAUUAUCAGGAGAGCUCCUCUGAAGAAUCUGAAGAACCUAUUGCGCAACUUGACAAAGGCAAAGGUUUAGCUGGAGAAUCAUCUCACGGUGGUGGUUCUCGUACUCGUGAGGGACGUUCAAAACAAGCUGCAGAGGUUCCUCCAGCACGGCGAAGGUUGUUUGCAUCAAAGUCGUGCAUAGCUGAAUGC
Molecule: long non-coding RNA, 1900 nt
Filed under: Ananas comosus (pineapple)
Lineage: Eukaryota; Viridiplantae; Streptophyta; Magnoliopsida; Poales; Bromeliaceae
Description: long non-coding RNA (ACOM_LNC019877)
Source: RNAcentral